CAUGCAGUCGAACGAUAUCAAGGGGCUUGCUCCUUGAGAAAGUGGCGCACGGGUGCGUAACGCGUAUGCAACCUACCUUUAUCUGGGGGAUAGCCCGGAGAAAUCCGGAUUAAUACCGCAUAAAAUCACAGUACGGCAUUGUACAAUGAUCAAACAUUUAUGGGAUGAAGAUGGGCAUGCGUGUCAUUAGCUAGUUGGCGGGGUAACGGCCCACCAAGGCGACGAUGACUAGGGGAUCUGAGAGGAUGGCCCCCCACACUGGUACUGAGACACGGACCAGACUCCUACGGGAGGCAGCAGUAAGGAAUAUUGGUCAAUGGAGGCAACUCUGAACCAGCCAUGCCGCGUGCAGGAAGACUGCCCUAUGGGUUGUAAACUGCUUUUAUCCGGGAAUAAACCUAUCUACGUGUAGAUAGCUGAAUGUACCGGAAGAAUAAGGAUCGGCUAACUCCGUGCCAGCAGCCGCGGUAAUACGGAGGAUCCAAGCGUUAUCCGGAUUUAUUGGGUUUAAAGGGUGCGUAGGCGGCCUGUUAAGUCAGGGGUGAAAGACGGUAGCUCAACUAUCGCAGUGCCCUUGAUACUGACGGGCUUGAAUAGACUAGAGGUAGGCGGAAUGAGACAAGUAGCGGUGAAAUGCAUAGAUAUGUCUCAGAACACCGAUUGCGAAGGCAGCUUACUAUGGUCUUAUUGACGCUGAGGCACGAAAGCGUGGGGAUCAAACAGGAUUAGAUACCCUGGUAGUCCACGCCCUAAACGAUGAACACUCGCUGUUGGCGAUACACAGUCAGCGGCUAAGCGAAAGCGUUAAGUGUUCCACCUGGGGAGUACGGUCGCAAGAUUGAAACUCAAAGGAAUUGACGGGGGCCCGCACAAGCGGAGGAGCAUGUGGUUUAAUUCGAUGAUACGCGAGGAACCUUACCCGGGCUUGAAAGUUAGUGAAGAUACCAGAGAUGGAAUCGUCCGCAAGGACACGAAACUAGGUGCUGCAUGGCUGUCGUCAGCUCGUGCCGUGAGGUGUUGGGUUAAGUCCCGCAACGAGCGCAACCCCUAUGUUUAGUUGCCAGCACGUCAAGGUGGGGACUCUAAACAGACUGCCUGUGCAAACAGAAAGGAAGGAGGGGACGACGUCAAGUCAUCAUGGCCCUUACGUCCGGGGCUAC
Molecule: ribosomal RNA, 1160 nt
Filed under: Pedobacter sp. UA-JF0701
Lineage: Bacteria; Pseudomonadati; Bacteroidota; Sphingobacteriia; Sphingobacteriales; Sphingobacteriaceae
Description: bacterial SSU rRNA
Rfam family: Bacterial small subunit ribosomal RNA
Source: RNAcentral